AGUGGGGGAUAACGUAGCGAAAGUUACGCUAAUACCGCAUAUGCCCUGAGGGGGAAAGGAGGGGAUCGUAAGACCUUUCGCUUUCGGAGUGGCCGAUAUCAGAUUAGCUAGUUGGUGGGGUAAAGGCCCACCAAGGCGACGAUCUGUAGCGGGUCUGAGAGGAUGAUCCGCCACACUGGGACUGAGACACGGCCCAGACUCCUACGGGAGGCAGCAGUGGGGAAUUUUGGACAAUGGGGCAACCCUGAUCCAGCCAUGCCGCGUGAGUGAAGAAGGCCUUCGGGUUGUAAAGCUCUUUCGGACGGAAAGAAAUCCUAUUCGCUAAUACCGGGUGGGGAUGACGGUACCGUAAGAAGAAGCACCGGCUAACUACGUGCCAGCAGCCGCGGUAAUACGUAGGGUGCGAGCGUUAAUCGGAAUUACUGGGCGUAAAGCGUGCGCAGGCGGUUUUGUAAGACAGAUGUGAAAUCCCCGGGCUUAACCUGGGAACUGCAUUUGUGACUGCAAGGCUAGAGUGCGGCAGAGGGGGGUAGAAUUCCA
RNAcentral lists this ribosomal RNA (540 nucleotides) under uncultured Gallionellaceae bacterium. RNAcentral describes it as "bacterial SSU rRNA". It matches the Rfam family "Bacterial small subunit ribosomal RNA", at positions 135 to 671 of the family's 1533-position model. Lineage: Bacteria; Pseudomonadati; Pseudomonadota; Betaproteobacteria; Nitrosomonadales; Gallionellaceae. The record is from RNAcentral.